Molecule: long non-coding RNA, 607 nt
Filed under: Solanum tuberosum (potato)
Lineage: Eukaryota; Viridiplantae; Streptophyta; Magnoliopsida; Solanales; Solanaceae
Description: long non-coding RNA (STUB_LNC011403)
Source: RNAcentral
UUACUUUCAUUUUAAAGUACUGAUGCUUAGGCAUCAAUUUUAUAAUUAGAGCAUUUCCUAUUUGGCCCUCUUUUUGCAAUGUUCAAAUGCAAUGCAUCUUUUGGAAGAUUGCGAUUCUGGAAUAUCCAUACUAUAGAAUUGCUAUGUGUUGCUACACAUCUAAAACCUAAAACUCAGGUAUAUAUUGUAUUGCUUGUUUAGAGCUGUGAAUCUCGCAUUUGCUAAAUUCUAAUGCCAAGAUUAUUCCAGCUGCUUGCAUAUUCACCUGCACAUAGAAAAGUUCAACACAUCUAAAACCUAAAACUCAGGUAUAUAUUGCAUUAAUUGUUUUGAGCUGUGAAUCUCGCAUUUGCUAAAUUCUAAUGCCAAGAUUAUUCCAGCUGCUUGCAUAUUCACCUGCACAUAGAAAAGUUCAACACAUCUAAAACCUAAAACUCAGGUAUAUAUUGCAUUAAUUGUUUUGAGCUGUGAAUCUCGCAUUUGCUAAAUUCUAAUGCCAAGAUUAUUCCAGCUGCAUAUUCACCUGCACAUAGAAAAGUUGAAUAGUUGCUAUUGAACAUUGUGAUUCUAAUGUUAAUUACGGUUGUUGAUGAAACUUAAUCAGGAG